This 538-nucleotide ribosomal RNA is filed under the name uncultured fungus. Its description in RNAcentral is "eukaryotic LSU rRNA". The stretch from base 199 to 352 matches the Rfam family "5.8S ribosomal RNA". Lineage: Eukaryota; Fungi. The record is from RNAcentral.
AAGUCGUAACAAGGUUUUCGUAGGUGAACCUGCGGAAGGAUCAUUAAAGAGUUACUCCCCCGGGAGCUUCUCCAACCCGUGCGAACGAACCUCUGUUGCUUUGGCGGGCCGCGGCAUCCGCCGCCGGCCUCGGCUGGCGAGCGCCCGCCAGAGAUUUUAAUCUGAUUACCUGUGUCUGAGAAAACAUAAAUGCAAAAAAACUUUCAACAACGGAUCUCUUGGUUCUGGCAUCGAUGAAGAACGCAGCGAAAUGCGAUAAGUAAUGUGAAUUGCAGAAUUCCGCGAAUCAUCGAAUCUUUGAACGCACAUUGCGCCCUUUGGUAUUCCGAAGGGCAUGCCUGUUCGAGCGUCAUUUACACCCUCAAGCCCAGCUUGGUACUGGAGGCCGCCCCCGGGCGCCUCUGAAAUACAGCGGCGGCGUAGCCGGCUCCCUGGCGUAGUGACUUACUGUCGCCCCGGGGCCGGUCGUUCGUUUGCCGGACAACGCCCAAUUUCUGAAAUCGACCUCGGAUCAGGUAGGACUACCCGCUGAACUUAA